CUACGGGGUGCUCCAGUGGGGAAUAUUGGACAAUGGGGGCAACCCUGAUCCAGCAAUGCCGCGUGUGUGAAGAAGGCCUUCGGGUUGUAAAGCACUUUAGUUUGGGAAGAAGGCGUGUAGUUUAAGAGAUGAUACGUUUGACUGUACCAAAAGAAUAAGCACCGGCUAACUCUGUGCCAGCAGCCGCGGUAAUACAGAGGGUGCGAGCGUUAAUCGGAGUUACUGGGCGUAAAGGGCGCGUAGGCGGUUAUGUAAGUGAGAUGUGAAAUCCCUGGGCUUAACCUAGGAACUGCAUCUUAUACUGCAUGGCUAGAGUAUUGUAGAGGGUAGUGGAAUUUCCGGUGUAGCGGUGAAAUGCGUAGAGAUCGGAAGGAACACCAGUGGCGAAGGCGGCUACCUGGACAAAUACUGACGCUGAGGCGCGAGAGCGUGGGGAGCAAACAGGAUUAGAUACCCCCGUAGUC
RNAcentral lists this ribosomal RNA (464 nucleotides) under uncultured bacterium. RNAcentral's name for it is "partial 16S ribosomal RNA". It matches the Rfam family "Bacterial small subunit ribosomal RNA", at positions 339 to 795 of the family's 1533-position model. The record is from RNAcentral.